CCUACGGGAGGCAGCAGUGAGGAAUAUUGGUCAAUGGACGAAAGUCUGAACCAGCCAUGCCGCGUGAAGGAUGACUGCCCUAUGGGUUUUAAACUUCUUUUAUAUGGAGCUAAAAUGUUCAACUUGUGGGAGUUUGUAUGUCCGAUCUAAAUAAGGAUGGGCUACCUCCGUGCCAGCAGCCGGGGUAAUCCGGAGGAGCCGAGUGUUAUCCGGGUUUAUUGGGUUGAAAGGGAGGGUAGGUGGAGUGUUAAGCAAGGGGUGAAAGUUGGCGGCUAAACAGGAAAAUUGCAGUUGAAACUGGCAGUCUUGAGGACAGAAGCGGUGGGCGGAAUGCGUGGUGUAGCGGUGAAAUGCAUAGAUAUCACGAAGAACACCGAUUGCGAAGGCAGCUCACGGGACUGCAACUGACACUGAGGCACGAAAGCGUGGGUAUCAAACAGGAUUAGAUACCCCAGUAGUC
Molecule: ribosomal RNA, 460 nt
Filed under: uncultured bacterium
Lineage: Bacteria
Description: partial 16S ribosomal RNA
Rfam family: Bacterial small subunit ribosomal RNA
Source: RNAcentral